This 497-nucleotide ribosomal RNA is filed under the name uncultured bacterium. RNAcentral's name for it is "partial 16S ribosomal RNA". It matches the Rfam family "Bacterial small subunit ribosomal RNA", at positions 28 to 507 of the family's 1533-position model. The record is from RNAcentral.
GAUGAACGCUGGCGGCGUGCCUAAUACAUGCAAGUCGAGCGCACAGACGAGGAGCUUGCUCCUUUGACGUUAGCGGCGGACGGGUGAGUAACACGUGGGUAACCUACCUAUAAGACUGGGAUAACUUCGGGAAACCGGAGCUAAUACCGGAUAAUAUUUCGAACCGCAUGGUUCGAUAGUGAAAGAUGGCUCUGCUAUCACUUAUAGAUGGACCUGCGCCGUAUUAGCUAGUUGGUAAGGUAACGGCUUACCAAGGCAACGAUACGUAGCCGACCUGAGAGGGUGAUCGGCCACACUGGAACUGAGACACGGUCCAGACUCCUACGGGAGGCAGCAGUAGGGAAUCUUCCGCAAAGGGCGAAAGCCUGACGGAGCAACGCCGCGUGAGUGAUGAAGGUCUUCGGAUCGUAAAACUCUGUUAUUAGGGAAGAACAAACGUGUAAGUAACUGUGCACGUCUUGACGGUACCUAAUCAGAAAGCCACGGCUAACUACGUG